GCUUACGGCCAUACCACCCUGGGCGUGACCGAUUUUGUUUGAUCUCGGAAGCCAAGCAGGGUCGGGCCUGGUUAGUACUUGGAUGGGAGACCGCCUGGGAAUACCAGGUGCUGUAAGCU
This 119-nucleotide ribosomal RNA is filed under the name Sinocyclocheilus grahami. The record is from RNAcentral. Lineage: Eukaryota; Metazoa; Chordata; Actinopteri; Cypriniformes; Cyprinidae.